RNAcentral lists this ribosomal RNA (505 nucleotides) under uncultured bacterium. Its description in RNAcentral is "partial 16S ribosomal RNA". It matches the Rfam family "Bacterial small subunit ribosomal RNA", at positions 28 to 507 of the family's 1533-position model. The record is from RNAcentral.
GACGAACGCUGGCGGCGUGCCUAAUACAUGCAAGUAGAACGCACAGUUUAUACCGUAGCUUGCUACACCAUAGACUGUGAGUUGCGAACGGGUGAGUAACGCGUAGGUAACCUGCCUGGUAGCGGGGGAUAACUAUUGGAAACGAUAGCUAAUACCGCAUAAUAUUAAUUAUUGCAUGAUAAUUAAUUGAAAGGUGCAAUUGCACCACUACCAGAUGGACCUGCGUUGUAUUAGCUAGUAGGUGAGGUAACGGCUCACCUAGGCGACGAUACAUAGCCGACCUGAGAGGGUGAUCGGCCACACUGGGACUGAGACACGGCCCAGACUCCUACGGGAGGCAGCAGUAGGGAAUCUUCGGCAAUGGACGAAAGUCUGACCGAGCAACGCCGCGGGAGUGAAGAAGGUUUUCGGAUCGUAAAGCUCUGUUGUAAGAGAAGAACGGGUGUGAGAGUGGAAAGUUCACACUGUGACGGUAUCUGACCAGAAAGGGACGGCUAACUACGUG